CAGUUCGGAUUGAAGGCUGAAACCCGCCUCCAUGAAGUUGGAUUCGCUGUAAUCGCGCAUCAGCCAUGGCGCGGUGAAUACGUUCCCGGGCCUUGUACACACCGCCCGUCAAGCCAUGGGAGCUGGGGGGUGGCCUGAAGUUCGUGACCGCAAGGAUCGACCUAGGGCAAAACCGGUGACUGGGGCUAAGUCGUAACAAGGUACC
RNAcentral lists this ribosomal RNA (205 nucleotides) under uncultured bacterium. Its description in RNAcentral is "partial 16S ribosomal RNA". It matches the Rfam family "Bacterial small subunit ribosomal RNA", at positions 1289 to 1500 of the family's 1533-position model. The record is from RNAcentral.